UACGUAGGUGGCAAGCGUUGUCCGGAUUUACUGGGCGUAAAGAGCGCGCAGGCGGUCGUUCAAGUCGCGUGUGAAAGCCCCCGGCUCAACUGGGGAGGGUCACGCGAUACUGAUCGACUCGAAGGCAGGAGAGGGUAGUGGAAUUCCCGGUGUAGUGGUGAAAUGCGUAGAUAUCGAGAGGAACACCGGUGGCGAAGGCGGCCAACUGGACGAAUACUGACGCUGAGACACGAAAGCGUGGGGAGCAAACAGG
Molecule: ribosomal RNA, 253 nt
Filed under: uncultured bacterium
Lineage: Bacteria
Description: partial 16S ribosomal RNA
Rfam family: Bacterial small subunit ribosomal RNA
Source: RNAcentral